This 530-nucleotide long non-coding RNA is filed under the name Felis catus (domestic cat). Its description in RNAcentral is "lncRNA (ENSFCAG00000049250.1)". Lineage: Eukaryota; Metazoa; Chordata; Mammalia; Carnivora; Felidae. The record is from RNAcentral.
GGCUGCAGCUGCAAACCUGCAAACUUCCUACUUCCAUGAAGACUCCAGAUGUUGAGACGAGGAAGCGAGGUUUUCACGUUGGCUUCCCAGCUGUUGCAACUCGGACUUUGCCUGCUGCUAUCGUCACAGUCAGCUUUUCACCAGGCCAAGGCAGAGAAACACGAUUUUUUGAAGGGAUGUGCUAACGGGAUUUUCAUCAGAUGGAAUUUCCUGCCUUUCUCAUAAACACCAUCACCGUGGAAAAUAUGACCACUUUUACCAUGUACCUGGGCAGAGUAAGAAAUGUAGUCAUUCUCUUCCCUCUCAUAUUUUUACAACUUGAUUUGCCUUCUAAUAUUGUGGGAAUAACACCUUAAUAGUCAAGAGGGUACAGGCAGAAGAGAGAACUAACAUAUGUUGAGCCCCUAGUACAGAGUUGACGUCCUGCUGGAUGCAUCUCAUGACAAUACUCACAACUCUGUUAGGCCAGUAUUGUUCCUCCCCAUUGUUUACAAUGAAGAAAAAGUAUUAAGCAAAUUAGGAGUUAAGCA